GAGUUUGAUCCUGGCUCAGGAUGAACGCUGGCGGAGUGCCUAACACAUGCAAGUCGAGCGGCAGCACGAGUAGUUUACUACUUGGUGGCGAGCGGCGGACGGCUGAGUAACGCGUGGGAACGUGCCCCAAAGUGAGGAAUAACUGCCCGAAAGGGUAGCUAAUGCCGCAUAUGAUCUUCGGAUUAAAGUAUUUAUUACGCUUUGGGAGCGGCCCGCGUCCGAUUAGGUAGUUGGUGAGGUAAAGGCUCACCAAGCCCACGAUCGGUAGCUGGUCUGAGAGGAUGACCAGCCAGACUGGAACUGAGACACGGUCCAGACUCCUACGGGAGGCAGCAGUGAGGAAUCUUCCACAAUGGACGAAAGUCUGAUGGAGCAACUCCGCGUGCAGGAUGAAGGCCCUCGGGUCGUAAACUGCUUUUAUGAGUGAAGAAUAUGACGGUAACUCAUGAAUAAGGGUCGGCUAACUACGUGCCAGCAGCCGCGGUCAUACGUAGGACCCAAGCGUUAUCCGGAGUGACUGGGCGUAAAGAGUUGCGUAGGUGGUUAGUAAAGUGAAUAGUGAAAUCUGG
This 569-nucleotide ribosomal RNA is filed under the name uncultured bacterium. RNAcentral describes it as "bacterial SSU rRNA". It matches the Rfam family "Bacterial small subunit ribosomal RNA", at positions 9 to 604 of the family's 1533-position model. The record is from RNAcentral.